This 111-nucleotide microRNA precursor is filed under the name Polistes canadensis. Its description in RNAcentral is "microRNA pca-mir-8 precursor". Its record names the gene pca-mir-8. The stretch from base 28 to 96 matches the Rfam family "mir-8/mir-141/mir-200 microRNA precursor family". From Rfam's summary of the family: The bounds of the precursors are predicted based on conservation and base pairing and are not generally known. The record is from miRBase by way of RNAcentral. Lineage: Eukaryota; Metazoa; Arthropoda; Insecta; Hymenoptera; Vespidae.
UAAAAGGUGUCAUCGUACGGAGUAUCUGUUCACAUCUUACCGGGCAGCAUUGGAUUGCAGUUGAGUCUUCUAAUACUGUCAGGUAAAGAUGUCGUCAGGAUUCCGAAAUCG